CGGGUGAGUAAUGUCUGGGAAACUGCCUGAUGGAGGGGGAUAACUACUGGAAACGGUAGCUAAUACCGCAUGACGUCGCAAGACCAAAGAGGGGGACCUUAGGGCCUCUUGCCAUCGGAUGUGCCCAGAUGGGAUUAGCUAGUAGGUGGGGUAACGGCUCACCUAGGCGACGAUCCCUAGCUGGUCUGAGAGGAUGACCAGCCACACUGGAACUGAGACACGGUCCAG
This 228-nucleotide ribosomal RNA is filed under the name uncultured bacterium. RNAcentral's name for it is "partial 16S ribosomal RNA". It matches the Rfam family "Bacterial small subunit ribosomal RNA", at positions 103 to 334 of the family's 1533-position model. The record is from RNAcentral.